RNAcentral lists this ribosomal RNA (468 nucleotides) under uncultured bacterium. RNAcentral describes it as "partial 16S ribosomal RNA". It matches the Rfam family "Bacterial small subunit ribosomal RNA", at positions 28 to 507 of the family's 1533-position model. The record is from RNAcentral.
GACGAACGCUGGCGGCGUGCUUAACACAUGCAAGUUGAACGGAAAGGCCCUGCUUUUGUGGGGUGCUCGAGUGGCGAACGGGUGAGUAACACGUGAGUAACCUGCCCUUGACUUUGGGAUAACUUCAGGAAACUGGGGCUAAUACCGGAUAGGAGCUCCUGCUGCAUGGUGGGGGUUGGAAAGUUUCGGCGGUUGGGGAUGGACUCGCGGCUUAUCAGCUUGUUGGUGGGGUAGUGGCUUACCAAGGCUUUGACGGGUAGCCGGCCUGAGAGGGUGACCGGCCACAUUGGGACUGAGAUACGGCCCAGACUCCUACGGGAGGCAGCAGUGGGGAAUAUUGCACAAUGGGCGGAAGCCUGAUGCAGCAACGCCGCGUGCGGGAUGAAGGCCUUCGGGUUGUAAACCGCUUUCGCCUGUGACGAAGCGUGAGUGACGGUAAUGGGUAAAGAAGCACCGGCUAACUACGUG